Non-coding RNA from Drosophila melanogaster (fruit fly), 1241 nucleotides. NCBI's taxonomy places the organism in Eukaryota, Metazoa, Arthropoda, Insecta, Diptera, Drosophilidae. The record is from Ensembl.
CACAACCAUCUCAGACUCGUUUGGGAAUAGAACCCACCGAUGGUAAUGACCCACCGUUCGUCCGUAUGUUUCACGCAAUUCGAUGGUGCAAUUUCAUCAGCCUCCCCGAAAAAGAUUUCAUCCGAAUUUCACUAUAUAUGUACGUAUGUAUUACCUGUCCCCCGGCGGAUGGGAAAAACACCCCUCGGCGCUUAGAGAACCGGCUAGGAAUAUCUCAAGACGCAUUUUAACUUGGCUGCAACGCAGUAGGAAAACUGCCUGCCGUCUCUUUCCUCGCGGCUAUAGGCCUGUCUCUCUCUCUUUGCGCAGGUACAUCAUAUUGUAUCUGAUGAAAACGAAAGCAAAAUCCGAACUGGUUUCUUCGAGGGUUGAUAAGCCCUAAUGGAGGUGGAAAAUGCGGAGAAGAGCCGCUCUCUCACCCAAAAAAUAAAAUAUAUAAACAUAUCAGCCGGCACGUAGGGCGGUUUCUAUGCUGUGGACUACGUGCUAGAUGACACGGCAAAAUUGUCCGUGUUUUUCGUGUUCUGGCUCCCUUGUUUACCGUUUACUACUUUGGGGGUCAGUUGGCACCCAGCUAACUCCCACCCCCAUCUAGUGUAAUUGAUGGAUUUGGGUCAUGCUUUCCCCAAUUCAAAUAUGCUCCUCGUCACAUGGAAAUCUACUUUCAAGAUUUCUAGGUGGGCGCCAUCCCCUGUCCCACAUCGAGAUCAUGAUCGCCGCAGAUCAACACACGUGGCCACCUUUUGUCAACCCCAUAUCCCUCGGAAUGGCCCGUGGCCAAUAUCCGAAUUACGUCGAAUCGUGGGCGCCAACGUAGGCAAAAGUUCCUGUAGCACUAUUUACAUGCGUCCAACGAUUAAAUAUCGUCAACAUCGCCCCCGCAUAGCUAAAACCGCUCGUGCCGCUGCUUGGAUCCACCCUAUGCUUGCUGCGAUCAGUGGGGCAUAUUAGUUUGAUUCCAAACAAGAUAUUCCACCUCAAAGAACUUGGGAACUAAUAAGGGUUCGAUCACCAAAUUUGGUGAUAUGAUAUAUGUAUUUCUUUAGAUAUGUGCGCUAAUAUUAAACGGCUAAGAAGUCAAUGUGCCAAAGAAAAGAUAUUAAAUAUGUAUGUUUCAUAUCAGUCAAGUUAAAUUUUGAUAUGAGCUAAGCGUACUUUUGGAUUGUGCACUCCUAAAUAUAGAAAUCACGCUAAAAUUGCAUAUCUAAGUAAAUAAAGCAAGUAAGUUAUGUAAGACGUGU